GACGAACGCUGGCGGCGUGCCUAAUACAUGCAAGUUGAGCGCUGAAGGUUGGUACUUGUACCAACUGGAUGAGCAGCGAACGGGUGAGUAACGCGUGGGGAAUCUGCCUUUGAGCGGGGGACAACAUUUGGAAACGAAUGCUAAUACCGCAUAAAAACUUUAAACACAAGUUUUAAGUUUGAAAGAUGCAAUUGCAUCACUCAAAGAUGAUCCCGCGUUGUAUUAGCUAGUUGGUGAGGUAAAGGCUCACCAAGGCGAUGAUACAUAGCCGACCUGAGAGGGUGAGCGGCCACAUUGGGACUGAGACACGGCCCAAACUCCUACGGGAGGCAGCAGUAGGGAAUCUUCGGCAAUGGACGAAAGUCUGACCGAGCAACGCCGCGUGAGGGAAGAAGGUUUUCGGAUCGUAAAACUCUGUUGGUAGAGAAGAACGUUGGUGAGAGUGGAAAGCUCAUCAAGUGACGGUAACUACCCAGAAAGGGACGGCUAACUACGUG
Molecule: ribosomal RNA, 497 nt
Filed under: uncultured bacterium
Lineage: Bacteria
Description: partial 16S ribosomal RNA
Rfam family: Bacterial small subunit ribosomal RNA
Source: RNAcentral